GACGAACGCUGGCGGCGUGCUUAAUACAUGCAAGUCAACUGAACUUAAGGUAGCAAUAUUUUAAGGGAGGUGGCGCACGGGUGAGUAACACGUAGGUAAUCCGCCUUUAGGUCUGACAUAAUUCCGCGAAAGCGGGACUAAUAUCAGAUGAUGCAGCGGCUCGACAUCGAGACAGUUGUUAAACCUUCGGGGCCUAAAGAUGAGCCUGCGUCUGAUUAGGUAGUUGGCGGAGUAAAGCCCACCAAGCCUGCGAUCAGUAGCUGGUCUGAGAGGAUGAUCAGCCACACUGGAACUGAGACACGGUCCAGACUCCUACGGGAGGCAGCAGUAAGGAAUAUUGCUCAAUGGCCGAAAGGCUGAAGCAGCAACGCCGCGUGGAGGAU
RNAcentral lists this ribosomal RNA (383 nucleotides) under uncultured bacterium. RNAcentral's name for it is "bacterial SSU rRNA". It matches the Rfam family "Bacterial small subunit ribosomal RNA", at positions 28 to 409 of the family's 1533-position model. The record is from RNAcentral.